GUAGAAUGCAGUGGGUAAACAAAUGUUGGUUACAAUUAGCGACGUUUUAUUCUGCCCUCACGGGUUCUUGCCAAAUUCUCGGCGGAGUUGGGUCGCGUUCGCAGAAGGGUGUUCGGAUUUGAAAGUACCAUUAGAAUGGCCGAAUUACUCGAGCGGCGAGGUAGUUUGGAAGGCACAACUGUCCACGAGUGAGGCACCCCUUUCCGGAGUUGGCUAGCACUUCCAAUGACCUAUCCGGAAACAAUCGGCGUACGUGUAUUCCCACAAAGACCAAUGCUGAACAAUAAUGUGAAAGAUCUGAUCGAAUGAGCUCGAAUGAAGUAAAUGAUAACGAACAGCCACCAGACAAUCAGGACGUGCCUGUUACUGAGAAUGAAAGCAACAGAAAAAAGGAAAAGUCCAAAAAGGAAAAACAAAAGAACAAAAAAAAUAAAAAGAAUGACAAGAAAAAACAAGACGACAAAGAAAACCGGCAGGAUGCCGAAGCCACAGAGUGCAACUUCCCUGAAGAAAAUAACAACAAGAAAAAGAAAAAACAGAAGGAAAAAAAGAACACAAACAAGAAAUUUGUUUUGCCAGAAGACAAAAUAAAUGCAGAGUUAGAACAGACGAUAGAUGAAAAAAGAGACCUGUGUGCCGAAACGGACGAUACGUUGCCGAGUUCUUCUACAAAAUAUACAAACGAAAAGUACAUAAAUGAGAAACUCGCAAAACUCAAGGACGAUCUGGAACGUCUACAAAGCAACCAGGAAAAGAAAAUGCAGGAGAUAGUAGAUUUGAGGAAGAACAAAGAAUCGAUUCUGGCUCAGCAGAAAAAGUUGAAAAUGGAAUAUGAAGAGUGGAAAUUGAGACAGGCACAAGCGCACAAAGAGUUCAAAAGAAAGACGAAAGAUGAAAUCAAAGAAAGGCAAAUUCGAUUGAAAAAUGAACACGAAAGGUGGAAACAAAAACAAAAAGAGAAAAGAAGGGAUACAAAGCGUAGGCUCAAAGAAGAAUACAGAGAUCGAAAAAGGCGUAGAAAAAGUAUAGACUCUUUGAAUAGCGACUCAGAAUCACGUUCAAGUAGUGAAAGUGUUGAUAAAGUUAGCAGCAAGAAAAGCAGGAGUCUUCUACGCAAUCACUCAGCCAACCUAUCAAAUCGUGAACAGGUCAGAAAUUUCUUCAGUGGCGUUGCUCAUUCUAUGUACCGGACACUCGGGUAAGGAUUCGAAAGGCCUGGCGCUACAUUAAGAAAAGGGUUACUCGAAAAGUCAUACGCAGGGCGUUCCGUAUUUGUGUUAAAAAAACCAGAAAAGCUGCCAAUUUUAUAACUUAUGUAGUUACAAAUUACUACAACUUUAUAAUUUUAGUUGUUUUGGUGGUGUUUUCAACCUACAUAAUUUUUGUUAGAAAAGGACCGGCACCACUAGAGCCCGGAUAAUUUCCUUUCUUUUUAGGCACCACCUUGUUACGCUGGAACUGUUUUGUCUUUCAUAUGAAUCUCUUGUCCACUUUUAUAUUAAAUAUUAUUGCUUGUCGAUUCAACGUUUGUUUAUUU
This 1537-nucleotide unclassified non-coding RNA is filed under the name Cimex lectularius (bed bug). RNAcentral's name for it is "trichohyalin-like, transcript variant X1". The record is from RNAcentral. Lineage: Eukaryota; Metazoa; Arthropoda; Insecta; Hemiptera; Cimicidae.